Molecule: ribosomal RNA, 254 nt
Filed under: uncultured bacterium
Lineage: Bacteria
Description: partial 16S ribosomal RNA
Rfam family: Bacterial small subunit ribosomal RNA
Source: RNAcentral
UACGUAGGGGGCGAGCGUUGUCCGAAGUUACUGGGCGUAAAGAGCGCGUAGGCGGCUUUCUAAGUCUGGUGUGAAAGGUUCAGGGCUCAACCCGAACAGUGCACUGGAUACUGGGAGGCUUGAGUGCGGCAGAGGGAAGCGGAAUUCCUGGUGUAGCGGUGAAAUGCGUAGAUAUCAGGAGGAACACCGAUGGCGAAGGCAGCUUCCUGGGCCGUUUCUGACGCUGAGGCGCGAAAGCGUGGGGAGCGAACGGG